UAUGUAAACUUCUAUCAGCAGGGAAGAAAAUGACGGUACCUGACUAAGAAGCCCCGGCUAACUACGUGCCAGCAGCCGCGGUAAUACGUAGGGGGCAAGCGUUAUCCGGAUUUACUGGGUGUAAAGGGAGCGUAGACGGCUGUGCAAGUCUGAAGUGAAAGGCAUGGGCUCAACCUGUGGACUGCUUUGGAAACUGUGCAGCUAGAGUGUCGGAGAGGUAAGUGGAAUUCCUAGUGUAGCGGUGAAAUGCGUAGAUAUUAGGAGGAACACCAGUGGCGAAGGCGGCUUACUGGACGAUGACUGACGUUGAGGCUCGAAAGCGUGGNGAGCAAACAGGAUUAGAUACCCUGGUAGUCCACGCCGUANACGAUGACUGCUAGGUGUC
RNAcentral lists this ribosomal RNA (385 nucleotides) under uncultured bacterium. RNAcentral's name for it is "bacterial SSU rRNA". It matches the Rfam family "Bacterial small subunit ribosomal RNA", at positions 422 to 824 of the family's 1533-position model. The record is from RNAcentral.